This is an RNA transcript of Zeugodacus cucurbitae (melon fly), 15577 nucleotides long. It is a transcript of the gene named probable tubulin polyglutamylase ttll-15, with no coding region annotated. The record is from RefSeq and is a predicted model, not a curated record. NCBI's taxonomy places the organism in Eukaryota, Metazoa, Arthropoda, Insecta, Diptera, Tephritidae. The transcript has 9 exons.
AAUGGUCUAUAAGUGAAAUAUGGCAUAAAUAAAUAAUGUCGCUUUAUUUAAGACAGCUGUAUAUAUAAUAUUGCUAUUUUAUGACUAAAAUUUUACUAAAAUUAAGUACACAAUAUACAUAGCACUGUGUUUUUCUAAGAUGGCGGCUAUCUUACCACCGAUAAUUCCCCACGAAUAAGGUUUUCUCCUGCAUGUACUGUGAUUGUAUCUAUACAAUGGUAAGAAGUGAAAGCUUCUAUUCGUAAUUUUUUUAAAAGUAGACGAUGGAUCAGGAAAACGUGGAUGUGAAAUCAUGCGUUGAAACGAAAACGAUUAAAAAUGUGCCUAUUUGGAUGUUAUUAACAUUUCUUUCGGUAACUGUUGCUACUGCUGUGUUGUUAGAAAUUGGAGUUUCGGAUUAUAAAUUAUGGAAAACAGAGAAAAUUAAUGUGUCAGCGUCCAUUAAUACAUCGUUAAACAAUUAUCACAAAUUUGCAGUUUAUCCCACCAUUAAAUCAUCAGAUAUCCAUCUUCAUCAUGUACUAGAAAUUUUAGGCCAAAUGGGAUAUAAACAAACAGCUAUAAAUGAGGACGAUUGGGAUUUUCUUUGGGCACAUGAGUACCCUUUUAAUAAAAUGGGAACAAGGAUGAGAAAUAUAUUGCCAUAUCAAACUGUAAAUCAUUUUCCUGGUAUAGGAUUCAUUACCAGCAAAGUUGAUCUAUCAACUGCAUCAUUGCCAUUUAUGCCUAAAGCAUUCCGCUUGCCAGAACAGAAGGAUGAAUUUUUACAAUAUGCUAGGGAUAAUCCAGAUUCAAUAUUUGUCGAGAAAGACAAUCAACAUCGAUCUAUUAAAAUUCGACCUCCUAAAGCAAUAAACUUGAAUGCUUCUAAUAGUUUUGUGCAAGAAUAUGUUCAGAAUCCAUUUUUGGUAGAUGGUCAUAAAUUCGAUAUUGGAGUUUAUAUAGUUUUGACAUCAAUUGAACCAUUGAUAAUAUAUAUGUAUACUGGAGACGUAUUGUUUCGUUACUGCCCUGAUAAAUAUUAUCCAUUUGAUGAUACUAAUGUUAAUCAAUACGUUGUUGGAAAUGACUAUCUACCUACGUGGGAAGUUUCUUCUUUGAGAAAAUAUUUUGAAAGCUUUCGGGGAGGUAUGCGCUCAUCUUUCGAUGCAUAUGUACGAGAUCAAUCUUUAGAUCCAUCUGUAAUUUGGUUACAAGUUGAAGAGAUUGUGCGUCUGACUAUUUUAUCUAAAAUAAAAAACAUUGCAAUAGCUAUGCAACCCUUUAAAAAUGGGAAGUAUUUUGAACUACUUCGUUUUGAUUUAAUUGUUGAUGAAAAGUUUCGUGUUCAUCUCAUGGAGGUUAAUAUGUCACCUAAUCUUUCUUCAGUACAUUUCAAACCUAAUGCACUUUUAUAUCAACAAAUUUUAUACAACGUUUUAAACUUAGUAGGGGUUGGAUCACCUAUUCGAACAGAUAAAAGAUUUUUUGAUGAAGAAGAAACAAUAACAUCAGAUAAAAAUGUUGCCGUAAAUCUUAAUGAUUGUGCCAAAUAUACCUGUUAUAAGUCUUGCAAUAAACCAGAGUGUGAUUUAUGUCUAUCCUGCUUGAAAGCUUCAGAAGUAAAUAUAUUAAGAAAGGCGCAUUAUGAACAUUUGCAUAAAAUGGAAAUGAAGAGAAUAUUCCCGAAAACAAUAGCUGAUCCGGACCGCUUAAAUAUACAAGAAGAAACAGAAAAUCUUUCAAUAAGGAAUGCGUGGCUCACGCGAUGGUUCCAUCAAAAAUGUAAAGACGACCGAAGUUGGUGUUAGUUAAGAGACGGUUAGUGCGGGAUAGUCAAUAUUUAAUGUUAUUGCAGUAUAAAAUACUUUAGUUGUAUAGCUGAAACACGUCCAGUAGUGAAAACGAAACAAAAAUUUCAGACAAUAUAAUUGAUCAAAUUUGUUGAUAAAGGUCGAUAAAACAGUUUUACGCUGUACAAUAAGGACAUCAAAAUGUUUAGAAGGCAACAUACUCAACAGAUCUCACGAAUUUCUGCAAACGUGGAACACGGAGCUUCUGAGCUCAUAUCCAUUUAUUACACGCCAAAGAAAAGUCUCAAAAUAAGAAAUCCUAUUAUAAAUAUUAUUACUUUUUCUUUUUGUGUUAAAGAUCUUAUUACAAUAAUAAAAGCACAAACCCAACGAUUAAAUUAGUUUUUUUGAUGCUAAAUAGUGAGUCUGAUAGACCAAAUGUGCUAGAGUGAGAAUUAAAAGUUUGCCUUAUGCGGCGGAAUUGUUCAUUUAACUCAAAAUUUGUUCUGUUCUUGUUGUUUAACCUGUCUAGAUGAACAGGGAUUUUAAAAGUAAUAUUAAACAAGAGGAAUAUAAGGAUCCAUUCAUAAGUUUUGCCAGGAAUAUUAUGCCAAACUUUUCCGCACGACUAAUCUUAAUAUAUAAAAAUCACGUGUCACGUUGUUUGUUUUCGAUGGACUCCUAAACUACUGAACCGAUUUUAAUGAAAUUUUUAACACUGUUGGUGGCGCUAAGUGCGCUAUGUUACAAUAGAUGGCGCUACAUUUAUUUCUAAAUUUUCAUGGAUUUAGGCUGUCAUAACAAAAGCUGCCACUUGCUAAAAACAUUAAAUGAAAAUGCGUUGUUUGAAGUUUAUAUUAUUUGGAUGUGAGUACAUUCAUUUGAAUAUUUGUACGUUAGUUUGUGGUUUGUCUUAGUUUUCUAGCGCUUUUGGAUACAUAUUUAUGCAUUUGUGUAUUCAUUUAUACGUGUGUGUAUAUAUGUGUGUUUUUUUCAUAAAAAUAUUUCAUUUUCAAUAUAUGUUCUAUUGUGUGUAGAUAAAAUUUGUCAGUACGUUUAUACUUUUUCUGUAGUUGGCUUUGUAUAUUUUUACAUUACCGCAAGUGUUUGAAUAUAUUUACGAUUGUAUGUAUAUUUACUCAUUUGUUGGUUUGUGGGUGCAUAUCAUAGCUGGCUUUUGAAAAUUUUUACAUUGCGGCAGAUGUUUGUUUAUAUACGUGUAGUUGAUUGUAUUUUUUUAAAUUUGAAUUUGUUUUUGUGAAAAAAAUUUGUUUGAGCAAGUGUUUUUUGUGUGACGUAAUGGUUGGCGAUCCUGUUGAAAAUCGAUCAGUAAAAAUCACACAGCAGGACAAUACUCUCAGCAUUAUUUCAGAUCUACAUCGCUCAUUUGACACACUUCAAUAUUUUCUAAUAUUUUGACAAUGACAGGACGAAUAUCAUAUAAAUAUAUGAAUUUUAAUACAAACUAUACAUUUUAUAACUAUAUUCCUAGGUAAUAAUUUAAAUGUAUUAAAAAAUAAAAUAUAUAUAUAUAUAUAUAUAUAUAUAUAUAAAUUAUUCACAGCAAAGCGUGCCCGGGUUUACUAGUAGAUUUAUAAGUUUUAAACGAUUACUGUAUGGAGGAAAAUUUAACCUAGAAUGCCAAUGCAAAUGCCCUAAGGCAAAAGUUUAACAACUCAAUUGCGUAAAGCUACUGACGAAUAAUCGCCAUUGUAGUAGCCUGGCUACUGAGUCUAGAUUUUUUAUUACGAUAAGCUAUUUAUCUCAGUUGCCAAGAAUGCGCAGAUAACAGCCCUGAGUUUACAUUUUUGACAAUUAUUUUGUAAGUAUUUGGCAGCAUUGUUCAAAUGUGAGUGACAAUUUGUGCAGUUAAAAUUACAAAUACGUGAACAAAAAUAAUUCAUUUGAAUUAAAAUAAAACAAUUAAUAUGUUGAGUAGUGAAUGAAUUAUUUUUAAUGAGUCGGGAGGAAAGCGCAAAUGUUGCAUUAAUUCGACGGCAAAUUAGAGAUCGUUCCAAUCCUUUGGAUUUUCCACUUGUGAAAAGCAUUUACAUACUAUUUACAUAGACGAGUUAUCUCCGCAUUUUAAACCCAACUACCGGCCAACUUCUGUCCCUCCAAUUUUAAAGCUCUGCGCACCGCUACGAUUCUUUGCAGAAGGUAGCUACCAGAAAUGCCAAGAGAAUGAUUUCAACACAGGAAUAUUACAAUCCACAAUGUCAAUGAUUCUGACAGAAGUGACAACCUUGAUUCAACAAAAAAAUAUAUAAACUGGAUUCCCUGGUGUAAUAGGAUGUGUGGAUGGGACACAUGUGCACAAUUCACUACCUAAAAGGAACUUCAACAUCUACAUACUUAUAUAUUAAUAGAAAGGGUUAUUACAGCAUAAAUGCGUUAAUGGUUUGCGAUUACAAAAGGAAUAUCACUUUUGUCGAUGUCAGAUAUCCUGGACCCUCACACGAUGCCUUUAUUUGGAAUAGCAGCACAUUAAAACAACUUAUUUCCAAUAAUGCAGGUGAAAACACAUGGCUUUUAGGCGAUGCUGUAUUACCUCUGGAAACAUUUCUCAUGACUCCGUAUCGAGCUGCUGAAAGUGGAACUCCAGAGAGUCGAUACAAUAAAGUUCGUUAUUGAAUAACAAGAACGAAAUCGGACCAUUACUACUACCUUGCUCACAUUUUCACGCAACAAAAGUUACCAACUGACGUCAUUAGCAUUGUAUAGAGAAGUAGAGAAACUCCAGAAACCCACCUCCAGAAACUACUUUUGACAUUUAAGCUAAUUCAUAUUCCCCAAAAAGGGUUUCGCAUAAUUAAAAAUUUGUGUAUUAUUGUUUAUUACUAUUCGAAUUUUUGAUAUUAUUAUGAUGUUAUUUAGUAUUACGAAAUUUAAUUAUAUUAAUUCCUGAUAGGGAUGAAUACCCAACAUAAAUAUUUGAAAAUGUUUUAUUCAAUUGAAACGAGAAGAUUUAUUUUACUAUAAGUGGGUUUCUCGAAAUAGCAUUGUAAUGCGAUAUGGUACUAAAAGUUAGCAGUCUUUAAACAGUAUUAUAAUUUAAUUAUUUCGAAGUAUUUAUAGACACAAUUGGGAAUUGAAAAUACAAUUUAUACAUAAGUAAAUAUGAAUAUGGGGAUGGGAUCAUAUGUAGAAGUUCACGCAAGUGAGGAAAGUUUCUGAUUGCCAUUCACUUGGGAGUGGCCAGGAACGAUUCUUUUACAUAUGACUCAAGCAGCUCACGACUUCCGGUUUUAGACCAAGUAUCCCCUGGGUAGUAUCCCGUUUGAAGGCGAAGCCCGCUUCUGCGGUUGUGCGUAGGAUUUGGGACCCACCACAUAAAAAAACCUCCCCAAUGAAAAAACAAUCAGAGCCUCGGAAGAGAAACCCCCCUUUUGAUGACGACCUCUGCAAACGUACUAAGGAUCAUGAUUUGAGGGCAUGCACCUGGAAUGUCCGGACCCUUAAUUGGGAAGGUGCCUCUGCCCAGCUGGUUGAUGUCCUCAUAAGACUCAAGGCUGACAACACCGCCAUCCAAAAAGUGCGAUGGACGGGACAAGGACGGAAGAAGGUGGGUCCUUGUGACAUCUACUACAGCGGCCAUAUAAAGUAGCGCAAAUUUGGUGUUGGAUUUGUGGUGGGAGAGAGACUCCGUCGCAGAGUCCUGGCAUUCACCCCGGUGGAUGAACGUCUUGCCACAAUCCGCAUCAAAGCGAGGUUCUUCAACAUAUCGCUGAUUUGCGCCCACGCCCCAACGGAAGAGAAGGACGAUGUGACCAAAGAUGCUUUCUAUGAGCGCCUAGAACGCACCUAUGAGCGCUGCCCCCGCCACGAUGUAAAAGUCGUGCUUGGCGAUUUUAACGCCAGGGUGGGUAAGAAGGUGUCUUUGGCACAACAGUCGGAAAAUUCAGCCUCCAUGACGAAACAUCGCCAAACGGCCUGAGGCUGAUCGACUUCGCUGGGGCCCGAAAUAUGGUCGUCUGUAGUACCGGAUUCCAGCAUAAGAAAAUACAUCAAGCUACUUGGCUGUCUCCUGAUCGAAACACGCGGAACCAAAUCGAUCACGUUGUGAUAGACGGAAGACAUGUCUCCUGUGUUUUAGACGUGCGUACGCUCCGAGGACCAAAUAUAGACUCGGACCAUUAUCUGGUCGCAGCGAAGAUACGCACCCGCCUCUGUGCAGCAAAGAAUGCCCGUCAACAAACUCAAGGAAGGUUCGACGUCGAAAAGCUGCAAUCGCAACAGACAGCCACGAAAUACUCUACUCGACUUGCACUCCUGCUCUCUGAGAGCACUCAUCAGCAUCUCAAAAAACAAGCUGGUACGAUGGGGAGUGCCGUCGCGCAGCGGAGAGAAAACAGACUGCCUACCUCGCAACGUUGCAAACGACCACAACACGUGCGGGAUGGGAUAGAUACCGAGAGCUGAAGAGGGAAGCGAGACACAUUUGCAGACAAAAAAAGAAAGAGGCCGAAAUGCGUGAGUACGAAGAGCUUGAGAAGCUGGCAGACAGAGGUAAUGCUUGAAAAUGGUAUGAAAAAAUGAAGCGACUUAACGAAAGUUUCAAGAGCGAAGCAUCCUCAUGUAGAGACCAAGGUGGCAGUGAGAGUACAACACCAGGAGAUGGCGAACCCGAUCCCACAAUCGAUGGCGAUGGAACAGAUGUUCCAUUACCCGACCAUGAAGAAAUCCGAAUAGCAAUUUCCCGCUUGAAAAACAACAAAGCAGCGGGGGCCGAUAGAUUACCGGCAGAACUAUUCAAAUACGGCGGCGAAGAACUGAUAAGGUGCAUGCAUCAGCUUCUUUGCAGAAUAUGGUCGGAAGAAAGCAUGACUGACGAUUGGAAUCUCAGUGUGCUCUGCCCAAUCCAUAAAAAGGGAGAUCCCACAAUCUGCGCCAAUUACCGUGUGAUCAGCUUCCUAAAUAUCGCCUAUAAGGUUCAAUCGAGCGUACUGUGUGAAAGACUAAAGCCCACCGUCAACGAACUGAUUGGACCUUAUCAGUGUGGCUUUAGACCUGGAAAAUCGACAACUGUCCAGAUAUUCAAAAUGCGCCAAAUUUUGGAGAAGACCCGAGAGAGAAGAAUCGAUACUCACCACCUUUUUGUCGAUUUUAAAGCUGCUUUCGACAGCACGAAAAGGAGCUGCCUUUAUGCCGCGAUGUCUGAAUUUGGUAUCCACGCAAAACUAAUACGGCUGUGUAAGUUGACGUUGAGCAGCACCAAAAGCUCCGUCAUGAUUGGGAAGGACCUCUCCGAGCCGUUCGAUACCAAACGAGGUUUCAGACAAGGUGACUCACUUUCGUGCGACUUCUUUAACCUGAUGCUGGAAAAAUAAGAGCUGCAGAGCUAAAUAGAGAAGGUACAAUCUUCUACAAGAGUGUACAGCUCCUGGCGUACGCAAAUGAUAUGGAUAUCAUCGGAAGCAACAACCGCGCCGUUUGUUCUGCUUUUUCCCGCAUGGAUAAAGAGGCGAAGCGAAUGGGUCUAGACGUGAAUGAGGACAAGACGAAAUAUCUCCUGUCAUCAAGCAAGCACUCGCGUCUUGGCUCCCACGUCACUGUUGACAGUCAUAACUUCGAGGUCGUAGAUAAUUUCGUAUACUUGGGAACCAGCAUCAACAACACGAACAAUGUCAGCUACGAAAUCCCGCGCAUAAUAACUCUUGCCAACAGGUGCUACUUUGGACUGAGUAGGCAAUUGAACAGUAAAGUCCUCUCUCGACGAACCAAAUUCAAGCUCUACAAGUCGCUUAUCACCGUCCUGCUUUACGGUGCAGAAGCUUGGACGAUGUCAACAUCAGAUGAGACGACACUAGGAGUUUUCGAGUGGAAAAUUUUGCGCAAGAUUUAUGGUCCUCAGAACAUUGGCAACGACGAAUACCGCAGACGAUGGAACGAUGAGCUGUACGAGUUAUACGAAGACAUUGACAUAGUUCAGUGAAUAAAAAGACAGCGGCUACGCUGGCUAGGUCAUGUUGUCCGAAUGGACGAAAACACUCCAGCCCUGAAAGUGUUCGAUGCAGUACCCGCCGGAGGAAGCCGAGGAAGGGGAAGGCCUCCACUCCGUUGGAGGGACCAGGUGGAGAGCGACCUGGUUACACUUGGGAUCUCCAACUGGCGCCGAACUGCGAAGGAGAGAGAGAAGUGGCGCUAUAACCGGCUAAACGGUUGCAACGCCAAUCACAUACAUACAGAUACCCAUCUUUUUUACAUUGUCAAAGCGUUGCGAUAUACUAUGCGCCUUAAAACUCUCGCAGAUGUGUAUUUUAUGAUUGUUGCUGGAACAUACCGAACAAAGCGAAUUGGAACAAGAAAAUUAAUAGCCCUUACGUGAAGGUUUUGCUCUAUGCGCUUUGGUUUACGUAUCCAACCGUGUGAGCGUUAUCAUUGGAGUCGUGUUAUUGUCUCUCCAAAUGAUGAAUGCAAUCAGCCCAGCUUGGCAGAUGCUUUAUCUAGUAAACUUUUGAACUGACCACCAUUUGGUUUAGAAAUGGACGAAAGCUCAAAUAACGACGAAAUAUUUUCUAAAAAUAUGAGAUGUAAAAAAAUUUUGAUAUUCAGAGUACUUGCCGAGGGGAGUUAAAGUUUAGGCAGCUUCGAUCCUGCUUGCAUUACACAAGUGGUGUCAAGUCUGAAUAAUUAACUUUGUUGUAAAAUACAGCUCCUCAAGAUCCAUACGGCCGCAAUCCUCUGAAUCUAUCCUUUCGAUUUCCAUAAAUAAAUUCUUGAAGUAUGAUUCAAGAAUACCAAGACGACUUUUGAACUCGGAUGAUGAAAGUAUUUAGCACCCGGCUUUAGACUGGCCUCCACAGUAUUUUUAUACGAGAAAUAUUGCUGUUUUAAGCUCUUACAAAGACAUUUAAAGAGAAAUUUAAUGAAAAUUGUUUGGAAAAAUGUGAUUUAUAUAUUAGUGGUACUCAUUUAACGUCGUAAAGGUAUGGCAACAUCGCAAAAUUACAAUAUCGUAAAACAGCUGUUAAUUUUUACUUGCAUUUUAUUUUACGACUAUCUUGCAAAUAAAGUCCAAUAGAAUAAUGAAUAUCAUCACAUAUAUUAUAUGAGGGCUGAAAUAGUUCCUGAACCGAUUUCACUCAUUUUCAUCACCAAGGUACAUUAUAUCCCAUACUAUACGUUCACUUAAUUUUGCUAAGAUAUGUUUCUCAAAUAUUUACCGAUAUAUGCGGAAAAACGCCUUUUUGAAAAACCUAUAAUUUGGUAUAUGGCAGCUAGGGGAAGUUAUGACCCGAUUUUAAUUUUUGGUACAGAAACACACUUUUAGAAGAAACAUGUUUCCUCUGAAUUACAUUAAAAUAUACAGUGUGUGAUACUCAAAAUGACCCACCUGUGAAAAGUUUACAAAACAAGAGUAGUAGUAGUAAUAGUAGAGUGGUAUUGGUAGCCAAUAGAAUUUGUAUUCUUCUACAAAAAUUACGUUUUGCCAAACGAUUCGAUUUUCAUCAGUAUAGCGUUUUAUUAUAUUUUUAAUAGUGCCGCGUGGUCUUUUAACCAUAUCUGCUUUUAUUCUUUGUCUUUUACCCUUUUAUAAUGUUGUUGUUUUAAAUUUCGUAUUUCAUUUGUGGUUUGAGGAGUAAGUUUACGAAAACUCACAAUAUCUUACAUUUUCAAAAUCGUAAAUAGAACAUAUAGAUCGAUAUAAUAGUAAAUGUGGUUUUAGUAAAAUAUCGUUUUUGAGUUGCUUUCAAUGACUGGACCAUUUUGAGUGGCGCGUCAUUUUUCGUUGUGUUUUUAUGUUUUCUUGUAAAUAUUGAAAAUAUAUCGUUCUCAUUUAAUAAUUCAUUUGAUUUUUUUUCUUGGUUACAAAUUAAGCUUAGAGAAAAAUAAUAAAAAUUCAAAUUAAAUAACAAAGGCCUGGUGUUACAACAUGUUUCAAAACUUGGGUCGGCUUUAGUAUAGUAUCCCCUGAUUUCAUGGUUGAAAUGGGUAUGGUUAUAAAGAGCCUCCUCUCCUCUCCUAUAGGCGUCCUAUCUCCAGAUUACGAAUUAAUAUAAUUGUUUUUGAGAUAUUCGCAUUUUAAGUUAAAAAUUAAAAUUAAAAAAAAAAAAAAAAAAAAAUCAUGUUGCGAUUUUUCGAUUAUUAGUUAAUUUUCAAUUUAUAUAAUGCGCUUAUUAUACACUAACACUUCACUAAAUUGUUUCCAUAAAUUUAUUUUAUAUCAAUUAGUAUAAUAUUUGCUUUAAAUAAACAUUUUAAUUUUUACUCAAUUUUGUUUAUAUGCACCAUAACCAUGUUAUAUUUAGCACAAUCAUUAAGAUUUAAGAGGAUUUGAUCAUGUUUGAAGUUCACGUAAGUGAGGAAAGUUUUUUAUUGUCAUUCACUUGGGAGUGGCCAGAAACGAUUCUUCUCCACAUGAUUCAAGCAGCAAGGUUUCUUUCGCACAACAGUAGGAAAAUUCAGCAUCCAUGACGAAACAUCGCCAAACGGCCUGAGGCUGAUCGACUUCGCUGUGGCCCAAAAUAUGGUUGUCAAUACGCGUAUACGCGUCAACGCAUAGAACGCACUUAUGAGCGCUGCCCCCUGAUCGAAACACGCGCAAUCAAAUCGAUCACGUUGUGAUAGACGGAAGACAUGUCUCCUGUGUUUUAGAUGUGCGCACGCUCCGAGGACCAAAUAUAGACUCGGACCAUUAUCUAGUUGCAACGAAGAUACGCACUUGCCUUUGUGCAGCAAAAAACGCCCGUCAACAAACACAAGGAAGGUUCGACGUCGAGAAGCUGCAAUCGCAACAGACAGCCACGAAAUACUCUACUCGACUUGCACUCCUGCUCUCUGAGAGCACUUAUCAGCAUCUCAAUAUAAGGGAGCUGUAGAACGGCAUCUCAAACUCACUGCGUACCGCUGCAGCCGAAACAAUUGGCGGCGAAGAACUGAUAAGGUGCAUGCAUCAGCUUCUUUGCAGAAUAUGGUCGGAAGAAAACAUGACUGACGAUUGGAAUCUCAGUGUGCUCUGCCCAAUCCAUAAAAAGGGAGAUCCCACAAUCUGCGCCAAUUACCGUGUGAUCAGCUUCCUAAAUAUCGCAUACAAAGUUCUAUCGAGCGUACUGUGUGAAAGACUAAAGCCCACCGUCAACAAACUGAUUGGACCUUAUCAGUGUGGCUUUAGACCUGGAAAAUCGACAACUGACCAGAUAUUCAAAAUGCGCCAAAUUUUGGAGAAGACCCGUGAAAAGAGGAUCGACACACACCACCUUUUUGUCGAUUUUAAAGCUGCUUUCGACAGCACGAAAAGGAGCUGCCUUUACGCCGCGAUGUCUCAAUUUGGUAUCCCCGCAAAACUAAUACGGCUGUGUAAAUUGACGUUGAGCAACACCAAAAGCUCCGUCAUGAUUGGGAAGGACCUCUCCGAGCCGUUCGAUACCAAACGAGGUUUCAGACAAGGUGACUCACUAUCGUGCGACUUCUUUAACCUGAUGCUGGAAAAAAUUAUAAGAGCUGCAGAGCUUAACCGAGAAGGUUCAAUCUUCUACAAGAGUGUACUGCUCCUGGCGUACGCCGAUGAUAUAUUGAUAUCAACGGAAGCAACAACCGCGCCGUUUGUUCUGCUUUUUCCCGCAUGGAUAAGGAGGCGAAGCGAAUGGGGCUGUAAAGCGAAUGGGUCUGGAUGUGAAUGAGGACAAGACGAAAUAUCUCCUGUCAUCAAGCAAACAGUCGGCGCAUUCGCGUCUUGGCUCCCUCGUCACUGAUGACAGUCAUAACUUCGAGGUCGUAGAUAAUUUCGUAUACCUGGGAACCAGCAUCAACAACACGAACAAUGUCAACCUUGAAAUCCAACGCAGAAUAACUCUUGCCAACAGGUGCUACUUUGGACUGAGUAGGCAAUUGAACAGUAAAGUCCUCUCUCGACAAACCAAAAUCAAGCUCUACAAGUCGCUUAUCAUUCCCGUCCUGCUUUACGGUGCAGAAGCUUGGACGAUGUCAACAUCAGAUGAGACGACACUAGGAGUUUUCGAGAGGAAAAUUUUGCGCAAGAUUUAUGGUCCUCAGAACAUUGGCAACGGCGAAUACCGCAGAUGAUGGAACGAUGAGCUGUACGAGUUAUACGACGACAUUGACAUAGUUCAGCGAAUAAAAAUACAGCGGCUACGCUGGCUAGGUCAUGUUGUCCGAAUGGACGAAAACACUCCAGCCCUGAAAGUGUUCGAUGCAGUACCCACCGGAGGAAGCCGAGGAAGGGGAAGGCCUCCACUCCGUUGGAGGGACCAGGUGGAGAGCGACCUGGUUACACUUGGGAUCUCCAACUGGCGGCGAACUGCGAAAGAGAGAGAGAGGUGGCGCACUAUCGUCGAUUCGGCUAUAACCGGCUAAACGGUUGCAACGCCAAUCACAUACAUACAUUAUAAGACGAUCUUCGUCCCCCUACAAUAACCCCAUUUGGGUCGUGGACAAGAAGAGUAUUGAUUAGUUUGGCAAUAAAAAAAGCGUCUGGUGGUAGAUUUUCGCAAACUGAACGAAAAUACCAUUGACGACAAAUACCCAAUACCAAAUAUCAUUUCGAUUUUAUCAAAUAUGGGACAUGCACAAUACUUCACAACCCUUGAUUUGAAGUCUGGAUUUCACCAGGUCGAGCUCGCUGAGCGAGACAGGGAAAAAACAGCCUUUUCCGUUAGCAACGGAAAGUAUGAAUUUUGUAGGCUACCUUUCGGAUUAAAAAACGCUCCGAGUAUUUUUCAAAGAGCCAUAGACGACAUCUUAAGGGAAAAGAUAGGAAAAAGCUGCUUUGUUUAUGUAGAUGAUAUUAUUUCUUCCGAAUCUAAGGAACAACACAUUAAAGACAUAGACUGGGUCUUGAAGAGUCUACAUGACGCUAACAUGAGGGUGUCAGUCGACAAGUCCACAUUUUUCAAAACUGAAACAGAGUAUCUCGGAUUUAUGGUAUUAUGGGGUGGCAUUAAGACGUGCCCAGAUAAAGUUAGCACAAUGCUAAACUUCCCAACCCCCGAAACCUUGUACGGGCUCAGGAUUAGCAAGCUACUAUAGAUGCUUCGUGAAAGACUUUGCCAUUAAGCCAAACCACUGACUGAUAUUUUGAAAAUGGGGAAAAUGGUUAAAAAAAGUUAGCGCUUACAGAUCCAAAAGGGUGAAAAUACUUUUAAAUUCAAAGCAACUGCAAGCAUUUGAGAAACUUAAACACAUUUUAGUAUCGGAAGACGUAAUGCUCGCUUACCCCGAUUUUAAAAAAGCAUUUGAUUUAACUACGGAUGCGUCCAACCGUGGCCUGGGAGCCGUUCUUUCUCAGGAAGGCAGACCAAUAACUAUGAUUUCCAGAACCCUAAAAGACAAUGAACUUCACUUUGCCACUAAUGAAAGGGAACUUUUGGCCAUAGUCUGGGCAUUAAAAAACCUUCGUAACUAUCUUUAUGGUGUACGCCAAUUGAAUAUUUUUACUGACCAUCAACCGCUAACGUUUGCGGUGUCUGACAGAAAUCCAAAUGCAAAGAUUAAACGUUGGAAAGCAUUUAUCGAAGCACAUAAUGCGAAGCUUUAUUAUAAGCCUGGGAAAGAAAACUACGUUGCCGAUGCUCUUUCGCGACAGCAAGUUAAUAUCAUGGACGAAAAUAUGAACUCAGAUUCAGCCACGAUUCACAGCGAAAGAUCGUUAACGUACACCAUAGAGGUAGUUGAAAAACCGGUUAAUUGUUUUAGGAAUCAAAUAAUUAUUGAAGAAAGUGAGUUUCCAAAAAAACGAACUUUCAUUAUUUUUGGGAAUAAAACUAGACUUUUGUGACAGAAGCAUGCUCUUAGGAAUUAUUCAGGACAUUAUGAAUACUAAUGUAGUUAAUGCAAUUCAUUGAAAUUUAUCCAUACUAGCCUACAUUCAACAUGACUUGGUGCAAAUGUUUCCAAGUGCAAAAAUUAGACACACUAAAACAUAUGUAACACCGUGCACACCGUACAGCACAAGAAAAUGUUAAGCAAAUCUUGAGGGACUAAUGUUUCCCAAAGAUGGAAAAGAAAGCCAAAGAGGUUGUAGGAUCUGCUCUAAAUCGAAGUACAAUAGGCAGCAUCGGAAACAUAGAAUAGCAGAUGCACCCAUUCCACUAUACUCAGGAGAGAUCCUGCAUAUUGACAUUUUUUCUACCGACUCAAAGUAUUUCUUGACUUGUGUAGACAAGUUCUCAAAAUUCGCAGUCGUUCAGACCAUAGCGUCGAGAACAAUUUUGGACAUAAAGCCCCAAUUAAUACAAAUUUUGAACAUUUUUCCAAAAGCAAAAAUUAUUUAUUGUGACAACGCAAAAACGCUGAAUUCAAACACUGUCAGACAACUUCUUUCCAAUAAUUUUGAUAUUAACAUCAUCAAUGCUCCACCUUUGCAUAGCUGCUCCAAUGGUCAGGUGGAGAGAAUCUAAUCUUGUUGUCAACAAUUGAAUGUAACAAAACAAUACAUUCUGUUACUAAAAUGAGGCCAGUAGACGUAUUUAGAUCCACCAUUGAUGAACCGAAUAAUGAAGUAUCUGAACGUAUUAGAUGUGCGCAACAGAAAGAGCUCUCAAGUCACAACAAAAACAGAACCGAGCGUGUUUUUAAAGAAGGAGAUAAAGUUAUGGUAAAAAGAAAUACUAGACUAGGUAAUAAGUUAACACCACUGUAUGAGGAACAUACAAUUGAAAAAGACCUAGGGAGUACAGUUUUAAUUAAGGGGAGGGUGGUCCAUAAAGACAAUUUAAAGUAAAUACUAGUCUGACCCCAUUUCUUCUUUGAUAUUCAAAUAACAGAAACCUAGGCUUAUUACAAAAAAUUAAAUUUUGCUACAUCGAAUUUCAUGGUGACUAGAUAACUGAGCAUCUCACGAAUAUUAAUUUCCACAUGUAAAACUUUUGUACUUUGAAAUUUUUGUUAACUAUAAUGAAAUGGCUAUAAUCGCUUAAAGCGGUUCCUACGCCAAAUAUAUAUAUGGAAAUAUACGUUAAGUUAUAACGAUAGUUAGUAGAUUUAAGAAAAACCGACUUGGCAACCAUGUAAUUGCAACUUGUUCCCAAAUACCAGUAUAUUGGGGCUCUCAUGGAUUUAUCAUACCGCUGUUAAACUGCUGUAAAAUUUCUCAAUGCUCGACCACUCAUAAUCGUCGUUCUCUCUAUCUCAGUCAUUAACUUGUAACUCAUUCCUGUUCCAAUAUAUGUAUGGGUCUGCGGAACUAAUGCCAAAAGUAAAAUUACUCAACCAUAACCAUAAAAAAUUAUAACUCAACCUAUUCUAUGUGCAACAAUGUAAUUGGUCAGAAGUUUAUGCAAUAAUAUCGUUGUGAUAACCUAUCAAAUCAUACAAAUGAAAUUAAUUUAGGCAUUAUUGUUGAGGAUUGUGGACGUACCUCAUUUAGAAGGGGAGGAGUUAAGCAGUAAUAACUGCUGAUCACCCACGUAAAAGCAUUACCGAAAGCUGUUAGGCAAGUGAGCACCGAACGCUGUGCGAGCGAUCACUGUAGUUAACAGCUACUACUUUACAUCCCAGUAGUUGUAAAGCAAGUGCGAAACAAUUACCGUGAGAGCGAUCAUUGGAUAACAACAUAACAUUAACUUAGCCAAUAGUUCGAAAACAAGCAUGGGCGAACUAAUGUGAGAGCGAUCAGUGCAUUUAGCAGCAACGACUCCAAUACAAGUUGAAACGAAUAACUGAGCAGCUAACAGCGAGAAGUGACAGAGAGCGAGGUUCAGUUUGUUCCAAUUAGAACUAACAGCAGUGUGGCCGGUUGCAAAUAGACCUUUGGGCAGGACACGUUGGUUGCUAAAGGAAAAUAAUAUUUAAGAUCUUUUUGUAAAAAUAAUUUAAUUUAAUAAAGUUGAUAUUUAAAAAAGUAA